Long non-coding RNA from Drosophila guanche, 1175 nucleotides. RefSeq lists it as uncharacterized. The record is from RefSeq and is a predicted model, not a curated record. The transcript is spliced from 3 exons. Lineage: Eukaryota; Metazoa; Arthropoda; Insecta; Diptera; Drosophilidae.
UCUGUAUUCAUUCCUGUCGUAUCAUUUGUAGUUUAUAGCGAACACAACUAAACAUUUUUUUCGCACUCGUUGAGCGUCGGAUACAAUCCAUACGCAGUGCUCGAGCAGCACGUGGAGUCAAUCCCGCCGCUCUGGUUCGUGGCCGAGCCGAAAACCGAGCGCGUAGACGCGUUACUUCGUUCGUGCUCAGUCAGCAGAAGGAGCUAAGAAGGCCAAUAGCUAAAGGUUCCAAGUUGCAGUUUCUCCACUAGAUUUGUGAGCAAUCAAAGACAAAGUGUGCGACAGAAGACCUGCCGAAGUUGUAUGCUCAGAACGUGUCAGCUGAGCUGCUGUAGAUGCCAUCCGAUCAGCUGACGCCAUUGCCUUUGGGCAGCGUGUCCUCAAUGGUUUCCGCAAGUCGCGCAAGUCGUGUCAAUGUGCUGAAUGGGCUGCUGGCCAGGCGAUGGAUGCCUUUCUGUCUUUCCCAAAGACCUCGUGUCAGGCAGCCAUAUUUCUGAAGGUGAGCCAUCCAUGAGCGCGGGAGAUCCAGUGCACCCAACCCAAGGAUGUCCUGAUGCAGGCGGAUAUGCUUCACCGUGGCCAGAGUUUUAUGUUCCUGUGGCUGCACUUUGUAGUGUAAUAUUGAGUCUGCCGAUCCCACAUCUCAUAUACUGUCUAGGCAUUGAACAGAUCAUCAUCCCAAUGCCACUUUCGGAACAACGUCACGGCGUUCUAGAUUCGGUGCCGUAGUUGUAAAGAUUCAGGAACAGCUUGGCCCACUAGUGGCCUUUGCCACAGUCCGGAAGGCGUGCGUCGCCUGACAACCGGCUAAGCCUUUCGCCUUGACUUCUGCAUUGAUAACCGACUGGCAGAGCCCCUAGAGAAAACUCUGCACAAAGACUAUGGGCGUCAGCAUAUUCGAUGACAUCUUCUGCAGCUUAGGUGUUCACCUUCCUUCUUUGGAGUCACACACAUGUAGCGGCGAACUGGAAACUGGAACACAGCAUAGAGGUGUGCCAGUGAUUGUGAUCUUUUGCCACUGAUUGAGGGUGCCGCAGCUCUCCACUUCUACGAGUAUACGGUCAGUGUCCAGCUCGGCAAACGAUUCACAGCAGCUAACAGACUGCUUCAGGCCAAGGGUGUAUCUCGUAUGGACUGCACCCGAGGCACCCAAGCACCGAGAGAUACAGACAGAA